Molecule: non-coding RNA, 5447 nt
Organism: Danio rerio (zebrafish)
Lineage: Eukaryota; Metazoa; Chordata; Actinopteri; Cypriniformes; Danionidae
Source: RefSeq, a predicted model, not a curated record
CAGUCUGGAUCAUGGAGGACACACGAGGAUUACAGCAGGACCACGCAAAUAUGCCUGUUUCCUCACUCUGGAUCCAAACACGACAUACGCUUUUCUCAUUCUGUCUGAGGAGAACAGAGAGGUGAAGCGUGUGAGAGAGUAUCAGCGGUAUCCUGAUCAUCCAGACAGAUUUGAUGGUAUUUAUUCUCAGGUGUUGUGCAGAGAGAGUGUGUGUGGACGCUGUUAUUGGGAGAUUGACUGGAGUGGAGAUGAUGUGUGGAUAUCAGUGUCAUAUAAGAGCAUCAGGAGGAAGGGAGUAGAUCCUGAGUAUUUGUUCGGAUGUAAUGCUCAGUCCUGGAGUUUGCGCUGCUCUUCCUCCAGUUAUAUAUUUUGGCAAAAUGACACACGCACUGAUCUCCCAGUGAAACCGCUCAGCAGGAGAAUAGGAGUGUUUGUGGAUCACAGUGCAGGAACUCUGAUCUUCUACAACAUCUAUAGAGACACAAUGAGCCUCAUCCACUCAGUCCAGACCACAUUCACUGAGCCGCUCUAUCCUGGGUUUACUAUUUGGUGUCAAUCAUCAGUCAAACUGUGCUGAAGACUGAGAAGGAGCAGUCAGUAGCAGUGUGUGUGUGUGUGUGAGAGAGAGAGAGAGAGAGUGUUUGUUUGUGUAUGUGUGAAAGAGCAUGUGUGUGCGAGUGUGUGUGUGUGUUUGAGUGUGUGCAUGAGUGUAUGUUUGUCUGUGUGGGAUUUUUUUUUCUACAAAAAUACUUUCUUACAUCAUUUUUUUUUUUGACACAUUGUAACUCCACAUCAGAUGUAACAGCAGCUCUCCUACCUCCACACUGCAGACAGCGUCCUUAUAACAGCACUGUUGUUCAAAGGUUUCAGCAUCAUUUAUGGCCUUGUAAUACUUUAAAUCUAUUUUAAUUCUGGACCUGACGAACGCUUUAAAACUCUCAAUCUCUUGACCAUGUACAUCAGGGGUGUCAAACUCAAUUCCUGGAGGGCCGAAGCCCUGUACAGUUUAGUUCCAACCCUGCUCCAACACACUUACCUGUAGGUUUUAAACAAGCCUGAAGGACUCAAUUAGUUUGAUCAGGUGUGUUUAAUUAGGGUUGGAACUAAACUGUGCAGAGCUGCGGCCCUUUUGCAACUGAGUUUGACACCUGUGAUGUACAUCAUCUAUUUAGUUUCUUCUUGUGAUAAGUAGAGCAAGUUUUGCUUGAGCAACUAAACAGUGAAUGAACUGCUAUUUCAGUUUGUGUUUCUGACUAUAGCCAACUCCAGAAGAAACUUACAUUGAGUCAAAUUCUCUCCACAUUUCAGGAAAACUCUGCUCAACAUAUCAAACUAUUGUGUUAAACGUGUACAGUCUCUCUAUGUCCACAGAAGAGACACUCGUCAUGGACACUAUAGAGUGAACAACACGUAUGAAAUCAUUCACUGCCACAAUCCCCUGCAGAAUCCUCCAUUGUAAAUCCCCAACACAUUUUGUCAAAGUUGGUUUAUACAAAACUCUCCACACUGGUUUUCCCCCUAAAGUAUCAUGAAAUGUCCGUUAUUUCUGUUAAUCUGCCUUUGUCACCUCUCUGAUCCGUAAUAAUAAUAAUCAUAAUAUUAGACAUUUGUUUGGACAUGAUGUGCUCUCUUCAACAAGCAGCUUUUCUCUUCAUUCUGCAGGCUGUUCGCUCUGGCAGUUGAUCAGAUAUUUGUAAGCAAGCCUAUAAUAAAAAGCAGAGUUAUUCUGCAGUCAGGUGAUGUGCUCCAUCAGGCACAACAAUCUUGAUAGUAUCUUGUAGUGUGCUGUGCCGCAGUUUUCAUAUCUUGUAGUAACAUAUUUUUAAAAGUGUACUGAUUAUAUUUUUAAAUUUAGCCUACAUAAUUAGGCACAAUUUAAACUUUCAAAACAUCAUGUUUUUCCCACCUCGGGCAUUAAAGCCUUUAUAUUAUUUUCUCUUUUAUUCUUAAUUGGGCAGCCAUUAUUCUCAACCCUGUAAUAGACUAAACUGAGUUGGUAAUAAUAUUUUACAAAGCUUUUGCUAUAACACCAACAUUUCCCUGUUGCUCAUAUGUCCCUCAAAUCAGUUUAAUGGCUAAAAUAUCACAUUUUUAAUGAGUUUUAGAUUCAUAUGUGAUUUAAGUUACAAUUAUUCAUACUUGCGCAUUCUGUGGUCUCUUAAUUUUUAAAAAGUUUUACAUUUAGAUGUCUUACCCCACCCAAAUAAUUACAAUGUUAGGCCUUAACAUGCUGGUUGGUUCUCAGCAAUAUUUUUUUCUAUAUUUAAUUGUUUUCCUUUAAAAAAAUGAAUCUCACAGGGUGGAGAAUACAGUGACGGGUUUAAGACCAUAACAGGGUUAAGAGGACACGUAAAUUUCAGUUUUAAUUUGUUUUAGUUCAUUUGAAAUUACAUCUAACACUUACUCAAUUUAUUUUAGUAAAACCCAAUAUACCCAAUAUAUUGCUGAACAGAACCUACAGUAAACAGAAGCAACAGGUAAAGUCUUGUCUAAAACUUUAUUUCCUAGAACAUCAAUAAAAACUGCAGCAGAAAAGUUCUUAAUGAAAUUGUUAAUGAAAAUACUCAAUAAUGUUAAUAAAAAAAUAAAAUUAUAUAGCCAGAUUGGCUGAUCUGCUUAUUUCAGAAACUGCUGAUCUAUUGGGAUUUUCACACACAACAAUCUCUAGGAGAGAAAAUUAUAUAGUGAGCAACAGUAACUGAAAUAACCACUCGUUACAACCGAGGACUGCAGAGGAGCAUCUCUGAACACACAAAACUUCCAACCCUGAGGUGGAUGGGCAGCAGGAGGGGAUUCAAUCAGGGAUUCCAAAACCUUUUGUUAGCCUAACCCUCUGUAUCUAUAAUAUUAAUAUGAGUUAUGCCCUCAAUGACCCCCUCUCUAAAGUUGGGUAAUUGUCACAUGACAUAGAGAUAAACAAAUGAACUAUUACAUAAUUUAAGUAUUUUUUUGUUCUGAUUUUAUUAGCUUUACAUAAACUCAUGAUGUAACUUGUGACACUCAAUAUAAAAUCUGCUGCUGGUACGGGUGCCGUGUCUGACAUUAAAUAGUGUCAAAGUUUAAGUAAAACACAGCUUCAAAUAUUCUAUCAGUAACAAAAUUUUUUUUUAUGUUUUUUAAUGAAUAUUCCUAAUUAACUAGGUGAAUAUACCCAAAACAAUGACAUGUGUGAUGGGGUUGAGUUUUUAAAGCAGAAUGUCCUCUGCUCCUUGUGUGGUUUAAAAGAGAAUGCCCACAUGGCAGCAAUUAAACAAGAAUAUGUUAUAUUGUUUGGAAAUAAAAAAAAAACAAUCAUAUUCCAUCUUAGUUUUACGUUACGGGGUUGAAUUGUUAAGCUUGACCGCAUCCUUCCUAACUAUAAUAAAAUCAAAAAGUGUAAAUAAAUGAAAAUAUAGCUUCUUUUGCACCAUGCUGAGAAAGAGAACUGAAUGAUGUCACUUUCCGUCUGUAGGUGGAGAAUUGCUGGUGUGACAGGGUUGAGUUUAUAUUGAGGGACAUAACUUUGUAGCCUGUUUUUUAUUAAAAAAUCUUAUUUUUUAUUUAUCACAAGUAAAUAACACAAAUAAAUAGUUGUAAUACUAAAAAAAUAAACACUGUGUCUACAUGCAAUUUCAAAGAAGUGCCUCGGGGGCAUGACAAAUAGCUUGGUUUGUGACAGACAUAUUAUAUUUUUUAUGCUAAAGCUGCAUUUAAUGUAUUUUUUUAUUCAUUAUAAUGUACAAAGUAGAUCAAUGAAAAAUGCUUUUAACAUGUAAUUUAAGUCGACAACCACUAUAAAAAAAUAUGGGGGACUGAAAUAUUACAGAACGCCAGGAAUGACUUAAUUAUAUCUAAGAUAAUUUUGUAAAACAAUAUGUUUUGUUAAAUGUAUAAUGUAUAAAUAGUUCCAUCACAUCAGCUGAGGCAAAAAGCAAUAAUGCAGCCAUUUCUUCUUGUAGUGUUGAUGUGGCUGUUUUGAAAGAAUUUGUGUGAAAGGCAUCAGGAACUUCUGGGAACUGCACAACUUUGUGUAAUGUUUUCACACUUGCAUGUGUCGAUUUUAUUUCUCAAUCAUUUUUAGAUUCAUUAAUUUUAUCAGCCUUCAUUGUGAUCAUUUUCUCUUUAUUGGUUAUACCUCACAAUCACAAACACUCACAACUGGUUCCAUUCUUUUGAAUUGUGUGGGUUAUUGAGCCAGGUUUCCAUUCGAUUCCUGAUUUUGCUCCGCGAGCAAAGGGCAGGAGUGGGCGUGUCCAGCAGGGGAGAAGGAGGGCAGUGAACAACUGUUGUCAGUUAGCUCACAGAAUGAAACACGUGAUUUUAUAGUUUAUAAAGUUAAAAUGCAAAGAAAUAAACAGUAAUGUAAUGCCCGGCUACAUUUGUUAUUCGUAAUUUCAUAUACACUUAACCACAAUUUAUAUCAUUAUAAAGAUAAUCAUGUUCAUAUAAACUCUAUAAUUGAAGACUUUUCCCUUAAUCCCCUUGUCUGAACCAUAGGUCUGAAUGCAGGCUCAGUGCAGCAGGCCUCUUGCCCUGUCUAUUUCAACCAUUAGCCCUGUUGGUAACCUAGAGGAUUUAGGCGAACACAACAGCACGGCGAUGUGUCUAAAUGUGAACAAACUCCUGAUAAAAGACAAUGUCCGCCAUUCUCCAAUUCUCGUACUGCUCUUCCGUCAAAAAUGCUUGCUGCACACACAGCUUUGCUGUAUUGGCCCUGACAGGAUCUUAGGGAAAAACAUGCAACAAACACUGUGGAUCAUGAUAACAAACACAUACGAGCCUUCAUAAACGGUGUGAUGGUUGAUGGGUCAGAUGACAUUAAUCAUGUGAGAGACAAAAAAUUCACUGAUGUAUUCUGAUAUUCCUAUGCGUAAAAGUACAACUCUUAACGAUGAAAUGAAACGUAAGAGAAAGGAAAGGCGACUCCGACAGAGGGCGCGCCUAGCCAACAAAUCAGCUGGACGAACUCUCUGUGAACCCCUUGCUACUUCAGAUGACCCUCUUGCUAGUAGUCGAACUCUGAAUGAACUCCCAACUUGUACUUUUGCUGAACUUUCUACCGAGUUCACGCACCUGAAUUUAAGUGCAUAACUUUAUAGCACAUUAUAAAUCAAGGCUUAUAUUAAACAGCCUAAAUGUUGAUUUAUAUGAUACAAUGUACUCUUGAUGACUAUAUAUCUGUCUUUUUACUGUUCAAGUGAUUUAGCAUGCUUCUUGAAUGUAUGAUUUCAGUAGUCUGUGCACCUGUGUUUAGGGUUGAUUUAUGAAUACUGUCACUGCGACACUGAGUAUAAAAGCUGACAUGUACUCUUCAGCUUUGCGCUUCCUGACUUCUGUUCAUUGAGGUUGGUUGCCCUUUGUCCGCCAACUGGGGACAAAGUAAGGAUUUUGUUUUCUGUUUGUCUUUUGUUUAUUCUACUUUUUCACUGGAUUUUGUUUUAUUAAUAAAAGUGUAUUUUAUUACUUUU